CCUACGGGAGGCAGCAGUGGGGAAUCUUGCGCAAUGGGCGAAAGCCUGACGCAGCCAUGCCGCGUGAAUGAUGAAGGUCUUAGGAUUGUAAAAUUCUUUCACCGGGGACGAUAAUGACGGUACCCGGAGAAGAAGCCCCGGCUAACUUCGUGCCAGCAGCCGCGGUAAUACGAAGGGGGCUAGCGUUGCUCGGAAUUACUGGGCGUAAAGGGAGCGUAGGCGGAUAGUUUAGUCAGAGGUGAAAGCCCAGGGCUCAACCUUGGAAUUGCCUUUGAUACUGGCUAUCUUGAGUAUGGAAGAGGUAUGUGGAACUCCGAGUGUAGAGGUGAAAUUCGUAGAUAUUCGGAAGAACACCAGUGGCGAAGGCGACAUACUGGUCCAUUACUGACGCUGAGGCUCGAAAGCGUGGGGAGCAAACAGGAUUAGAUACCCUGGUAGUCCACGCCGUAAACGAUGAGUGCUAGUUGUCGGCANGCANGCAUGUCGGUGACGCAGCUACGACAUAAGUACACGUCCGCCGUCGGGAGGUACGGUCGGCGAAGAAGUUAAACGUUAACUAAAGUUAGUUAAGUUAGUUACGGCGUGAGACGNGCCGACGGACGACGACGAGGGAGGAGG
Molecule: ribosomal RNA, 618 nt
Filed under: uncultured bacterium
Lineage: Bacteria
Description: bacterial SSU rRNA
Rfam family: Bacterial small subunit ribosomal RNA (bases 1-519)
Source: RNAcentral